Molecule: ribosomal RNA, 541 nt
Filed under: Bifidobacterium dentium
Lineage: Bacteria; Bacillati; Actinomycetota; Actinomycetes; Bifidobacteriales; Bifidobacteriaceae
Description: bacterial SSU rRNA
Rfam family: Bacterial small subunit ribosomal RNA
Source: RNAcentral
GUGGUAAUGCCGGAUGCUCCGGUUGGAUGCAUGUCCUUCCGGGAAAGGUUCCAUCGGUAUGGGAUGGGGUCGCGUCCUAUCAGCUUGAUGGCGGGGUAACGGCCCACCAUGGCUUCGACGGGUAGCCGGCCUGAGAGGGCGACCGGCCACAUUGGGACUGAGAUACGGCCCAGACUCCUACGGGAGGCAGCAGUGGGGAAUAUUGCACAAUGGGCGCAAGCCUGAUGCAGCGACGCCGCGUGCGGGAUGGAGGCCUUCGGGUUGUAAACCGCUUUUGAUCGGGAGCAAGCCCUUCGGGGUGAGUGUACCUUUCGAAUAAGCACCGGCUAACUACGUGCCAGCAGCCGCGGUAAUACGUAGGGUGCAAGCGUUAUCCGGAAUUAUUGGGCGUAAAGGGCUCGUAGGCGGUUCGUCGCGUCCGGUGUGAAAGCCCAUCGCUUAACGGUGGGUCUGCGCCGGGUACGGGCGGGCUGGAGUGCGGUAGGGGAGACUGGAAUUCCCGGUGUAACGGUGGAAUGUGUAGAUAUCGGAAAAAAACACC